CCUACGCGUGGCAGCAGUGAGGAAUAUUGGUCAAUGGCCGGAAGGCUGAACCAGCCAUGCCGCGUGCAGGUCAGUGCCCUAUGGGCGUUAAACUUCUUUUGUUCGGGAGCAAUAAUCGUCACGUUUGGCCAUACGCUAUUACCGUUCUAUUCAGCAUCGGCUAACUCCGUGCCAGCAGCCGCGGUCAUACUGGGUAGGCAAGCGUUAUCCGGAUUUAUUGGUUUUAAAGGUUGCGGAGGCUGUGAGGUAAGUCAGCGGUGAAAUGCCCACGCUCAACGGGGGUAAGUGCCAUUGAUACGGCCGGGAUGGAAUGCGGAUGCCGUGGGAGGAAGGUGUGGUGUAGCGGUGAAAGGCAUAGAUAGCACACAGAACACCGAUUGCGAAGGCAUCUCACGAAGCCGCGAUUGACGCUGAUGCACGAAAGCGUGGGUAUCAAACAGGAUUAGAUACCCGGGUAGUC
Molecule: ribosomal RNA, 460 nt
Filed under: uncultured bacterium
Lineage: Bacteria
Description: partial 16S ribosomal RNA
Rfam family: Bacterial small subunit ribosomal RNA
Source: RNAcentral